GACGAACGCUGGCGGCGUGCCUAAUACAUGCAAGUAGAACGCUGAAGGAGGAGCUUGCUUCUCUGGAUGAGUUGCGAACGGGUGAGUAACGCGUAGGUAACCUGCCUUGUAGCGGGGGAUAACUAUUGGAAACGAUAGCUAAUACCGCAUAAUAGUAGAUGUUGCAUGACAUUUGCUUAAAAGUUGCAAUUGCAUCACUACCAGAUGGACCUGCGUUGUAUUAGCUAGUUGGUGGGGUAACGGCUCACCAAGGCGACGAUACAUAGCCGACCUGAGAGGGGGAGCGGCCACACUGGGACUGAGACACGGCCCAGACGCCUACGGGAGGCAGCAGUAGGGAAGCGUCGGCAAUGGACGGAAGUCUGACCGAGCAACGCCGCGUGAGGGAAGAAGGUUGUCGGAUCGUAAAGCUCGGUUGUAAGAGAAGAACGAGUGUGAGAGUGGAAAGUUCACACUGUGACGGUAUCUUACCAGAAAGGGACGGCUAACUACGUG
RNAcentral lists this ribosomal RNA (495 nucleotides) under uncultured bacterium. RNAcentral describes it as "partial 16S ribosomal RNA". It matches the Rfam family "Bacterial small subunit ribosomal RNA", at positions 28 to 507 of the family's 1533-position model. The record is from RNAcentral.